Molecule: unclassified non-coding RNA, 192 nt
Filed under: uncultured fungus
Lineage: Eukaryota; Fungi
Description: sequence contains ITS1, 5.8S rRNA gene
Source: RNAcentral
UUAACUAUUAUAUAGUACUCAGACAUCACUAAAAACAAGAGUUGUGGUCCUCUGGCAGGCACUCAAGAGCCGAAGCCCCUGGCACGAGUGCGUCCUGCCAAAGCAACAAAGGUAUGUUAUUCAAGGGUGGAGAUCUACCCGUGAGGGCAUGAUACUCUUGUAAUGAUCCUUCCGCAGGUUCACCUACGGAAA